RNAcentral lists this ribosomal RNA (334 nucleotides) under uncultured eukaryote. RNAcentral's name for it is "partial 18S ribosomal RNA". It matches the Rfam family "Eukaryotic small subunit ribosomal RNA", at positions 1470 to 1796 of the family's 1831-position model. The record is from RNAcentral.
CCCUUAGAUGUCCGGGGCCGCACGCGCGCUACACUGAAGGAAUCAGCGUGGCUUUCUCCCUGACCCGAAAGGGUUGGGAAACCCGUUGAAUCUCCUUCGUGAUAGGGAUUGGGGCUUGAAAUUGUUCCCCAUGAACGAGGAAUUCCCAGUAAGCGCGAGCCAUAAGCUCGCGUUGAUUACGUCCCUGCCCUUUGUACACACCGCCCGUCGCUACUACCGAUUGAACGGUUUAGUGAGGGCCUCGGAUUGGUCUCGGCCCGCUCUUUACCGGGCGGCGCCGUUGGUCGAGAAGACGCUCGAACUUGAUCGUUUAGAGGAAGUAAAAGUCGUAACA